AGUUAAGUUAGAAAGGGCGCACGGUGGAUGCCUUGGCACUAGGAGCCGAUGAAGGACGGGAUUAACACCGAUAUGUUUUGGGGAGCUGUAAGUAAGCUUUGAUCCAGAGAUUUCCGAAUGGGGAAACCCUCUAUCCGUAAUGGGAUAGAAUCUUUACCUGAAUACAUAGGGUACUGAAGGCAGACCCGGGGAACUGAAACAUCUAAGUACCCGGAGGAAGAGAAAGCAAACGCGAUUCCCUGAGUAGCGGCGAGCGAAACGGGAUUAGCCCAAACCAAGAGGCUUGCCUCUUGGGGUUGUAGGACACUCUAUAUGGAGUUACAAAGGAACGGGGUAGACGAAUCGAUCUGGAAAGGUCAGUCGUAGAAGGUAAAAACCCUGUAGUCGAAACUUCGUUCCCUCUUGAGUGUAUCCUGAGUACGGCGGGACACGAGAAAUCCCGUCGGAAGCAGGGAGGACCAUCUCCCAAGGCUAAAUACUCCCUAGUGACCGAUAGUGAACCAGUACCGUGAGGG
RNAcentral lists this non-coding RNA (515 nucleotides) under Niallia circulans. RNAcentral's name for it is "Bacillus circulans Bacterial large subunit ribosomal RNA". It matches the Rfam family "Bacterial large subunit ribosomal RNA", at positions 1 to 509 of the family's 2925-position model. The record is from Rfam by way of RNAcentral. Lineage: Bacteria; Bacillati; Bacillota; Bacilli; Caryophanales; Bacillaceae.